UACUCAAUACAGAGCCUCACUGUUCCC
Molecule: non-coding RNA, 27 nt
Filed under: Rattus norvegicus (Norway rat)
Lineage: Eukaryota; Metazoa; Chordata; Mammalia; Rodentia; Muridae
Source: RNAcentral